AUUGAACGCUGGCGGCAUGCCUUACACAUGCAAGUCGAACGGCAGCGGACCUUCGGGUGCCGGCGAGUGGCGAACGGGUGAGUAAUGCAUCGGAACGUGCCAUUGAGUGGGGGAUAACGUAGCGAAAGUUGCGCUAAUACCGCAUAUUCUGUGCGCAGGAAAGCAGGGGACCGCAAGGCCUUGCGCUCUUUGAGCGGCCGAUGUCAGAUUAGCUAGUUGGUGAGGUAACGGCUUACCAAGGCGACGAUCUGUAGCGGGUCUGAGAGGAUGAUCCGCCACACUGGAACUGAGACACGGUCCAGACUCCUACGGGAGGCAGCAGUGGGGGAAUUUUGGACAAUGGGGGGCAACCCCUAGAUCCAGCCAUGCCGCGUGAGUGAAGAAGGCC
This 388-nucleotide ribosomal RNA is filed under the name uncultured bacterium. RNAcentral describes it as "bacterial SSU rRNA". It matches the Rfam family "Bacterial small subunit ribosomal RNA", at positions 30 to 416 of the family's 1533-position model. The record is from RNAcentral.